This 917-nucleotide long non-coding RNA is filed under the name Homo sapiens (human). RNAcentral describes it as "HSALNT0086298". The record is from RNAcentral. Lineage: Eukaryota; Metazoa; Chordata; Mammalia; Primates; Hominidae.
AGCCCAAGAUUAGCUCUCACCAGCAUUUAGGGAUUCUGGCCCUUGGCAGGAAACGACUUAAACUCUGUGUACCAUCAACUAAAGGCAUCAUGAUCUUUAUAAUAAUGAUUUCCAGCCUCAAAUGGAUGCUAUUAAUUAGUCUAAAGUUUUCAGGGGCUUGAGAAUGCCGGAUGCUAAGGACUGAAUGAAUGUGAAGUUUUAGCCAAAUCAUAGAGCUGGGAGCUUGGAGAAGGGAGGAGGUGAGGUGACUCGCAGCCCGUCAGUCACACGAGGAGGCUCAGGGCAGAAAGAACAGGAUGGCCACUGUCCUGGGGCUGAGCUCCCUCUUCUAACCACACCAGACCACGUAAUUAGAAAUUACUUCAGCACAUAAACAGGUACUUUACAAUGUUUUUUUGACAACGGGCAGCACGCUUCUCCUUUCCACUGCCAGAGGGGAACCAGCGUUGGCUUCCCAUGGGCCCACCUCCUCUUCAGCCCAGCCCCGUCUUCCCCUACAGAGAAAGCAGCAGACACAGUCACACGGGAACAUCUGCUCUAAAUGUGGGCCCCUUCCAGGGGCCCUGGCUCAAGAGGAGCGGGUAAAAUGGCCUCCUUUAACCUAAAUCACCGCGGCCACGGUGCCCUCCCCCUCCGCCCUCCCGUUCUCCCAUCAACAAGUUUAAGAAAGUUCUCUUCAUAGAAAGCCUCAUUAUUGACAUGGACACCCUCACUCAGAACACCCUCACCAUACACCACUCCAUCCCGCGCUUGUGCAUUUGUUGGCUAUUGCUGCUACAGUGGAUGCUGUUGUUCAGUAUUCAGAUAUCAAGAAACAACUAGCCAAAGUAAGGAGGAACGAGGGGCCCAUGAAGCUCAGUAGAGCUUGUGAUAAUAUUUGCAAGAGAAGACUACCUGCCAAACUAACUUCAGAAAAG